Molecule: transfer RNA, 70 nt
Filed under: Plotosus lineatus (striped eel catfish)
Lineage: Eukaryota; Metazoa; Chordata; Actinopteri; Siluriformes; Plotosidae
Description: tRNA-Phe
Rfam family: tRNA
About the family: Transfer RNA (tRNA) molecules are approximately 80 nucleotides in length. Their secondary structure includes four short double-helical elements and three loops (D, anti-codon, and T loops).
Source: RNAcentral
CUGAUGUAGCUUAAAACUAAAGUAUAACACUGAAGAUGUUAAGAUGGACCCUAGAAGCGUCCCAUAAGCA